This 466-nucleotide ribosomal RNA is filed under the name uncultured bacterium. Its description in RNAcentral is "partial 16S ribosomal RNA". It matches the Rfam family "Bacterial small subunit ribosomal RNA", at positions 28 to 507 of the family's 1533-position model. The record is from RNAcentral.
GAUGAACGCUGGCGGCGUGCUUAACACAUGCAAGUCGAACGGAAAGGCUCCUGCUUGCAGGGGUACUCGAGUGGCGAACGGGUGAGUAACACGUGGGUGAUCUGCCCUGCACUUCGGGAUAAGCCUGGGAAACUGGGUCUAAUACCGGAUAGGACGAUGGUUUGGAUGCCAUUGUGGAAAGUUUUUUCGGUGUGGGAUGAGCUCGCGGCCUAUCAGCUUGUUGGUGGGGUAAUGGCCUACCAAGGCGUCGACGGGUAGCCGGCCUGAGAGGGUGUACGGCCACAUUGGGACUGAGAUACGGCCCAGUCUCCUACGGGAGGCAGCAGUGGGGAAUAUUGCACAAUGGGCGCAAGCCUGAUGCAGCGACGCCGCGUGGGGGAUGACGGCCUUCGGGUUGUAAACUCCUUUCGCUAGGGACGAAGCGCAAGUGACGGUACCUGGAGAAGAAGCACCGGCUAACUACGUG